This 75-nucleotide transfer RNA is filed under the name Staphylococcus epidermidis. RNAcentral's name for it is "tRNA-Gly". It matches the Rfam family "tRNA". Rfam says of the family: Transfer RNA (tRNA) molecules are approximately 80 nucleotides in length. The record is from RNAcentral. Lineage: Bacteria; Bacillati; Bacillota; Bacilli; Caryophanales; Staphylococcaceae.
GCGGAAGUAGUUCAGUGGGAGAACACCACCUUGCCAAGGUGGGGGUCGCGGGUUCGAAUCCCGUCUUCCGCUCCA